This 446-nucleotide ribosomal RNA is filed under the name uncultured bacterium. Its description in RNAcentral is "bacterial SSU rRNA". It matches the Rfam family "Bacterial small subunit ribosomal RNA", at positions 330 to 793 of the family's 1533-position model. The record is from RNAcentral.
CCCAGACUCCUACGGGAGGCAGCAGUGGGGAAUAUUGCACAAUGGGGGAAACCCUGAUGCAGCGACGCCGCGUGAGUGAAGAAGUAAUUCGUUAUGUAAAGCUCUAUCAGCAGGGAAGAAAAUGACGGUACCUGAGUAAGAAGCACCGGCUAAAUACGUGCCAGCAGCCGCGGUAAUACGUAUGGUGCAAGCGUUAUCCGGAUUUACUGGGUGUAAAGGGAGCGCAGGCGGCACGGCAAGCCUGAUGUGAAAGCCCGCGGCCCAACCGCGGGACUGCAUUGGGAACUACCGGGCUGGAGUGCCGGAGAGGUAGGCGGAAUUCCUAGUGUAGCGGUGAAAUGCGUAGAUAUUAGGAGGAACACCAGUGGCGAAGGCGGCCUGCUGGGCUUUAACUGACGCUGAGGCUCGAAAGCGUGGGGAGCAAACAGGAUUAGAUACCCCCGUAC